RNAcentral lists this ribosomal RNA (387 nucleotides) under uncultured bacterium. Its description in RNAcentral is "bacterial SSU rRNA". It matches the Rfam family "Bacterial small subunit ribosomal RNA", at positions 28 to 408 of the family's 1533-position model. The record is from RNAcentral.
GACGAACGCUGGCGGCGUGCUUAACACAUGCAAGUGGAGCGACGAACCAGGCUUCGGCCUGGGGCAGAGCCGCGAACGGGUGAGUAACACGUGGGUAACCUGCCCUGAUGAUCGGGACAACCCGGGGAAACCCGGGCUAAUACCGAAUGUGCCCGCGAGCCGCAAGGCUUGCGAGGAAAGGAAGCUUCGGCCUCCGCAUCGGGAUGGGCCCGCGGCCCAUUAGCUUGUUGGUGGGGUAACGGCCUACCAAGGCAGCAAUGGGUAGCUGGUCUGAGAGGACGAUCAGCCACACUGGGACUGAGACACGGCCCAGACUCCUACGGGAGGCAGCAGUGGGGAAUCUUGCGCAAUGCGCGAAAGCGUGACGCAGCAACGCCGCGUGGGGAA